UCUAGGCUCAGAACUGGCACCUCACCACUGCCUCUGUUACAAGGCGAACUCCAAUUACAGGAGUGCUCUCAUUGUGAGGAGCUGAAAACUUGCAUUGCCACGGGGCAGCGAUCCAGGAAGAAGAACUGAGGCCAUUUCUACAAUCCACUACAGAUACGCCUCUUAAGAAAGAAGACAGAAGAAGAAUAGCAGCCCGAGUUCAUGUGUGGCAGCCCCGUGGUGGAAAUUCCCAGCCAUUACACAGCACACUGGAGGGGGAACGUGGAGAGCAAGGAACGCUUUAUGGGACUUAUUGUUGCUAUUUACAAAUAGGCCAAACGUGAAGAAAGAAG
This is a long non-coding RNA of Balaenoptera acutorostrata (minke whale), 332 nucleotides long. RefSeq lists it as uncharacterized. The transcript has 3 exons. The record is from RefSeq and is a predicted model, not a curated record. Lineage: Eukaryota; Metazoa; Chordata; Mammalia; Artiodactyla; Balaenopteridae.